Molecule: ribosomal RNA, 1405 nt
Filed under: uncultured organism
Description: 16S ribosomal RNA
Rfam family: Bacterial small subunit ribosomal RNA
Source: RNAcentral
AUGAACGCUAGCGGCAGGCUUAACACAUGCAAGUCGAGGGGCAUCGGGAGGGAAGCUUGCUUUCCUUGCCGGCGACCGGCGCACGGGUGAGUAACACGUAUGCAACCUGCCCUCUUCAGGGGGACAACCUUCCGAAAGGGAGGCUAAUCCCGCGUAUAUCGGUUUCGGGCAUCCGAGAUCGAGGAAAGAUUCAUCGGAAGAGGAUGGGCAUGCGGCGCAUUAGCUUGACGGCGGGGUAACGGCCCACCGUGGCGACGAUGCGUAGGGGUUCUGAGAGGAAGGUCCCCCACACUGGUACUGAGACACGGACCAGACUCCUACGGGAGGCAGCAGUGAGGAAUAUUGGUCAAUGGGAGAGAUCCUGAACCAGCCAAGCCGCGUGAGGGAAGACGGCCCUAUGGGUUGUAAACCUCUUUUGUCGGAGAACAAAACCCGGGACGUGUCCCGGACUGCGUGUAUCCGAAGAAAAAGCAUCGGCUAACUCCGUGCCAGCAGCCGCGGUAAUACGGAGGAUGCGAGCGUUAUCCGGAUUUAUUGGGUUUAAAGGGUGCGUAGGCGGUCCGUUAAGUCAGCGGUAAAAUUGCGGGGCUCAACCCCGUCGAGCCGUUGAAACUGGCAGACUUGAGUUGGCGAGAAGUACGCGGAAUGCGCGGUGUAGCGGUGAAAUGCAUAGAUAUCGCGCAGAACUCCGAUUGCGAAGGCAGCGUACCGGCGCCAGACUGACGCUGAGGCACGAAAGCGUGGGGAUCGAACAGGAUUAGAUACCCUGGUAGUCCACGCAGUAAACGAUGAAUGCUGGUUGUCCGGGUCGAAUGAGACCUGGGCGGCGAAGCGAAAGCGAUAAGCAUUCCACCUGGGGAGUACGCCGGCAACGGUGAAACUCAAAGGAAUUGACGGGGGCCCGCACAAGCGGAGGAACAUGUGGUUUAAUUCGAUGAUACGCGAGGAACCUUACCCGGGCUCAAACGGGAGUGGAAUGGACCAGAGACGGUUCAGCCUACGGGCCGCUUCCGAGGUGCUGCAUGGUUGUCGUCAGCUCGUGCCGUGAGGUGUCGGCUUAAGUGCCAUAACGAGCGCAACCCCCGCCGGCAGUUGCUAACGGGCAAUGCCGAGGACUCUGCCGGGACUGCCGCCGCAAGGCGUGAGGAAGGCGGGGAUGACGUCAAAUCAGCACGGCCCUUACGUCCGGGGCGACACACGUGUUACAAUGGGCGGUACAGCGGGAAGCCAGGCGGCGACGCCGAGCGGAACCCGAAAGCCGUUCUCAGUUCGGAUCGGAGUCUGCAACCCGACUCCGUGAAGCUGGAUUCGCUAGUAAUCGCGCAUCAGCCAUGGCGCGGUGAAUACGUUCCCGGGCCUUGUACACACCGCCCGUCAAGCCAUGGGAGCCGGGGGUGCUUGAAGU